AGCUCGUGUCGUGACGAUGUUCGGUUAAGUCCGGCAACGAGCGCAACCACAUCCUUAGUGCCAUCAUUCAUUGGGCACUCUAGGGAAACUGCCCGUGAUAAGCGGGAGGAAGGUGUGGAUGACGUCAAGUCCUCAUGGCCCUUACGGUUGGGCUACACACGUGCUACAAUGGUAGUGACAAUGGGUUAAUCCCAAAAAGCUAUCUCAGUUCGGAUUGGGGUCUGCAACUCGACCCCAUGAAGUCGGAAUCGCUAGUAAUCGCGUAACAGCAUGACGCGGUGAAUACGUUCCCGGGCCCUU
This 300-nucleotide ribosomal RNA is filed under the name uncultured bacterium. Its description in RNAcentral is "bacterial SSU rRNA". It matches the Rfam family "Bacterial small subunit ribosomal RNA", at positions 1057 to 1382 of the family's 1533-position model. The record is from RNAcentral.